UCUUAGGGUUUAGAUUUGAAGGUUUAGGGUUUUAGGGUUUAGGGUUCGAAUUUCAGAAAAAUAUAAGGUUUAGGGUUUACGUUUAGGGUUUAGAAUUGAUGUUUUAGGGUUUUGAUUUGAAGGUUUAGGGUUUAGGGUUUAUAGUUGAUGUUUCGGGGUUUAGGGUUUAGAGUUGAUGUUUCGAGCAACACUAAACCCUAAACUAUCAACACUAAACCCUAAAACCUAAAAAGUAAACUCUAAACCCUAAACCCUAAAAAUUAACCCUAAACCCACUCUAAACCCUAAACCUUCAACUCUAAACCCUAAACCCUAAAACCCUAGAGUUGAUGUUUAGGGUUUAGAUUUGAAGGUUUAGGGUUUAGAGUUGAUGUUUCAUGGUUUAGAGUUUAGAGUUGAUGUUUCAUGGUUUAGAGUUUAGAGUUGAUGUUUCGAGGUUUCAUGGUUUAGGGUUUAGAGUUGAUGUUUCGGGGUUUAAGGUUGAUGUUUCAUGGGUUUAGAUUUGAUGUUUUAAGUUUAAAUUAGUUAACCAUAUGUUUUUUUUGUCAAUGGUAAUCAAAAGGUUAUAAAUGUCUUUUACCCUUCAUUAAAGAUGAUGGUAAAAAUGGUUAGUGUAAACAUGAAAAUUAGUACUUUGAAAAUGUUAUUUUUGGCAAUUUCCUAGAGAAAAAUAAAAUGUUUCAUUUAAAUUUGACGAGAAAUGAA
RNAcentral lists this long non-coding RNA (705 nucleotides) under Brassica napus (rape). Its description in RNAcentral is "long non-coding RNA (BNAP_LNC024757)". The record is from RNAcentral. Lineage: Eukaryota; Viridiplantae; Streptophyta; Magnoliopsida; Brassicales; Brassicaceae.